UGGGGAAUUUUCUGCAAUGGACGAAAGUCUGACAGAGCAAUAUCGCGUGAGGGAAGAAGGUUUAAGAAUUGUAAACCUCUUUUUUUAAGAAAGAAUUUAUGACGUUACUUAAAGAAUAAGCAUCGGCUAACUCUGUGCCAGCAGCCGCGGUAAUACAGGGGAUGCAAGUGUUAUCCGGAAUUAUUGGGCGUAAAGCGUCUGUAGGUGGGUUUAUAAGUCUUUUGUUAAAUAUACAAGCUUAACUUGUACCAUUCAAAAGAAACUAUUUAUCUAGAGUUUGAUAGAGGUAAAGGGAAUUUCCAGAGGAGUGGUGAAAUGCGUAGAUAUUGGAAAGAACACCGAAAGCGAAGGCACUUUACUAGGUCAAUACUGACACUGAGAGACGAAAGCUAGGGGAGCAAACGGG
This 406-nucleotide ribosomal RNA is filed under the name uncultured bacterium. RNAcentral describes it as "bacterial SSU rRNA". It matches the Rfam family "Bacterial small subunit ribosomal RNA", at positions 355 to 776 of the family's 1533-position model. The record is from RNAcentral.